Molecule: ribosomal RNA, 406 nt
Filed under: uncultured bacterium
Lineage: Bacteria
Description: partial 16S ribosomal RNA
Rfam family: Bacterial small subunit ribosomal RNA
Source: RNAcentral
AUUGAACGCUGGCGGCAGGCCUAACACAUGCAAGUCGAGCGAGUGGCGGACGGGUGAGUAAUGGCUGGGAAACUGCCUGAUGGAGGGGGAUAACUACUGGAAACGGUAGCUAAUACCGGAUUUCAUCAGAUGUGGCCAGGUGGGAUUAGCUAGUAGGUGGGGUAACGGAUCACCUAGGCGACGAUCCCUAGCUGGCCUGAGAGGCUGACCAGCCACACUGGAACUGAGCCCGGGUCCAGACUCCGACGGGAGGCAGCAGUGGGGAAUAUUGCACAAUGGGCGCAAGCCUGCUACAGCCCGGCCGCGUGUGUGAAGAAGGCUUUCGGGUUUUAAAGCACUUUCGUCGGGGAGGCGUUACCCGCAGAAGAAGCACCGGCUAACUCCGUGCCAGCAGCCGCGGUAAUAC